RNAcentral lists this long non-coding RNA (454 nucleotides) under Carica papaya (papaya). Its description in RNAcentral is "long non-coding RNA (CPAP_LNC009441)". Lineage: Eukaryota; Viridiplantae; Streptophyta; Magnoliopsida; Brassicales; Caricaceae. The record is from RNAcentral.
UGGAAGAAUGAAAUUGAAGUUAUAAGGAAAGUGGGAAGGGAGGGGUCCCUAUUUAUAAAAAAUGGGAACUGUUAGAUUUGCGACAAGUGGCAAAAUCUGCUGAGGAGAGAGAAAGUGAAUGGGAAAGGAGUGACGUGAUAUCUAACAGAUGUGACCGAUGGACGAAUGAUGUGACGCAAUGACGACAUAAAAAAUAAAGGCACGUCUUCCCAAUGACAGCAACACACUACCUAAGAUAGUAGCAGCACACCGCCCAAAGGGGCAGCGCGCACUGCCUGAGGCAACAGUACGCCUCCCCAGUUGGCAGCACGCGUGGAAGGCCUAUAGCCCACAAGUCAUUGCACGCAAGCCUAUUGCAUGCAGGCCUAUCGCAUUGGCCUACUGCGUGGAUCGCGCAUGCACAGAGCGCACAACGCCCUACCAGUUUGUGCGUGAUAGGACGCAUGUAGACUGU